RNAcentral lists this ribosomal RNA (518 nucleotides) under uncultured bacterium. RNAcentral describes it as "bacterial SSU rRNA". It matches the Rfam family "Bacterial small subunit ribosomal RNA", at positions 8 to 518 of the family's 1533-position model. The record is from RNAcentral.
AGAGUUGAUUAUGGCUCAGGAUGAACGCUAGCGAUAGGCCUAACACAUGCAAGUCGAGGGGCAGCACAUGAGUAGCAAUACGAUGGUGGCGACCGGCGCACGGGUGAGUAACACGUAUGCAACCUACCUUUAACAGGGGAAUAACCCGUUGAAAAACGGACUAAUACUCCAUAACACAGGGGUCCCGCAUGGGAAUAUUUGUUAAAGAUUAAUCGGUUGAAGAUGGGCAUGCGUUCCAUUAGCUUGUUGGUGAGGUAACGGCUCACCAAGGCCACGAUGGAUAGGGGAACUGAGAGGUUUAUCCCCCACACUGGAACUGAGACACGGUCCAGACUCCUACGGGAGGCAGCAGUGAGGAAUACUGGUCAAUGGAGGCAACUCUGAACCAGCCAAGUCGCGUGAAGGAUGAAGGUCUUAUGGAUUGUAAACUUCUUUUGCAAGGGAAUAAAGUGGGGGACGUGUCCUCCUUUGCAUGUACCUUGCGAAUAAGGAUCGGCUAACUCCGUGCCAGCCGCCGC